AUGCACGCUGGCGGCGUGCCUCAUUCAUGCAAGUCGAGCGAACAGACGAGGAGCUUGCUCCUCUGACGUUAGCGGCGGACGGGUGAGUAACACGUGGAUAACCUACCUAUAAGACUGGGAUAACUUCGGGAAACCGGAGCUAAUACCGGAUAAUAUAUUGAACCGCAUGGUUCAAUAGUGAAAGACGGUUUUGCUGUCACUUAUAGAUGGAUCCGCGCCGCAUUAGCUAGUUGGUAAGGUAACGGCUUACCAAGGCAACGAUGCGUAGCCGACCUGAGAGGGUGAUCGGCCACACUGGAACUGAGACACGGUCCAGACUCCUACGGGAGGCAGCAGUAGGGAAUCUUCCGCAAUGGGCGAAAGCCUGACGGAGCAACGCCGCGUGAGUGAUGAAGGUCUUCGGAUCGUAAAACUCUGUUAUUAGGGAAGAACAAAUGUGUAAGUAACUAUGCACGUCUUGACGGUACCUAAUCAGAAAGCCACGGCUAACUACGUG
This 496-nucleotide ribosomal RNA is filed under the name uncultured bacterium. RNAcentral describes it as "partial 16S ribosomal RNA". It matches the Rfam family "Bacterial small subunit ribosomal RNA", at positions 29 to 507 of the family's 1533-position model. The record is from RNAcentral.